AGCGAACGCUGGCGGCAGGCUUAACACAUGCAAGUCGAGCGCCCGGAGCAAUCCGGGAGCGGCAGACGGGAGAGUAACACGUGGGAACGUACCUUUGGUCGAAUAAUCCAGGGAACUUGGACUAAUACCGGAUAACGCCCGUUAACGGGGAAAGUAUUUUAUCGACCAAAAGGAUCCGGCCCGCGUCUGAUUAGCUAGUUGGUGAGGUAACGGCUCACCAAGGCGACGAUCAGUAGCUGGUCUGAGAGGAUGAUCAGCCUCACUGGGACUGAGACACGGCCCAGACUCCGUACGGGAGGCAGCAGG
Molecule: ribosomal RNA, 306 nt
Filed under: uncultured bacterium
Lineage: Bacteria
Description: bacterial SSU rRNA
Rfam family: Bacterial small subunit ribosomal RNA
Source: RNAcentral